This 331-nucleotide ribosomal RNA is filed under the name Tricommatinae sp. MZSP 73202. Its description in RNAcentral is "partial small subunit ribosomal RNA". The record is from RNAcentral. Lineage: Eukaryota; Metazoa; Arthropoda; Arachnida; Opiliones; Gonyleptidae.
GGAAUAGAUACCCUAUUAUUGGUAAAAAUUAUCGAAUUAGUAUAAGGAAACUUAAAAGGUUUGGUGGUUAUUUAGUAUUUAGAGGAGCUUGUUUUUGGAAGAAUUUACUCUUUGUAUUUAAAAUAGAUAUAUGCUUAUUCAUCUCCGUUAUUAGAUAUUAGUUAAUUAAAUUUAAUUUAGAAUUUCAGGUCAAGAUGUAGUUUAGUUAAGGAAGAAUUAGCUAUGAUUUUGAAAAAGGUUUUAAUUAAGAGAAUUUUUAGAAAAAGUUGAAUUUAAUUGUAAUUUAAAUUAGAAAGUUAUAAGAAGAGAUUUUAGAUAAUGUACAUAUCGC